RNA transcript from Pieris rapae (cabbage white), 1491 nucleotides. It is a transcript of the gene named cilia- and flagella-associated protein 36, with no coding region annotated. The record is from RefSeq and is a predicted model, not a curated record. NCBI's taxonomy places the organism in Eukaryota, Metazoa, Arthropoda, Insecta, Lepidoptera, Pieridae. The transcript has 8 exons.
AUCGUUACUAUAGCAACUAAAAUGCAAAUAAUAAUCUAAAUAUUGACAAGGCUAAUUCAUAAUCGGUAUAAGAGCGGCAUUAACAUCUAUUUAAGUUUGGACCUCAUGAAUAUGGACAACAACGCCUGGGUUUUUGACUCUUUAGUUGGUUUCCUACAUGGCCCCGUGUGGAAUGUUCCCUUACAAACAUUUAUAGAAGAAAAAUCUUUGCCUUUCGAACCUUCGGACGAUGGAGAAGUUGUUGACAGGCCAGAUUAUAAGAAGAUACAUGAUGAAUAUAGGAACCUGGUGGACGUGAUGCUUGGAUCGUUUAUGGAUGAUAUCGGUAUCUCGGCUGAUCAAUUUGAAGCGGCAUGUCGCCUCUCCGCGAGUGAUUUAGCUGGACUUCCCACAUACUUUCACAAACGUCUAUUUGAGCAGAUAUGGGCCGCUAACGACUACGAAAUGUUCGUUAAAAUGAUGACACAUAAGAAUGUGGAAUUACAAUUGCAGGCUUUGGAUUUAAUCGAAAAACGGUAUGGCACUAUGCCAAGUUUAUUCUCGUGUGAUGGCGAAGAGCUGGACUCCUCACAAAGUGACGAGAGCGUCGAAUGGCCGGAUAACGAUGACGUCAUGAUUGAAAUUAAGAAACUUACACUUGAUGACUUGGAAACUGAUGAGGUUACAGUGCCACCAGAAGAGGUUAAGGCUGAGAAGCAAACUCUUCUGACGAAACUGCAUAGUUUUGAAAAAAGAGAUGAAAUAAAAGCGGUAGAAACCCCCAAAGAAAAACCAAACAUCAAGAUUCCGGUUGUCAUUGUACCGAAAAAGCCAGAGGUAUCGGAAGAAGAAAUAAAGGCACGACAAGAGUAUUUAAAACAACAGAGGGACAAGUUGCUGGCUUUAAAGAAGCAAGUUCGUGAAAAACAACUUGGUGCUGAAACUGAAGCUCUUUCUGGCGGUGGCGAAGGCACAGCAAAGUUUCAAAGGCCUAAAUCAGCACGAAUGGCCCAAGCAGCUCUAUCUGGAUCAGCACCAGCUCCGUCUCCAGACGCGAUGCAGUUACGAAGGGCCCUCGCUACUAAACUUAAGACCGAAGUGGUGGAAAGCAGCCAUUAAUCUUAUUCGCUUCUUUCAAUUUUAUGUAUUUAUUGUUGGUAUUAAUAGCCUGUGUCAGGGCGUUUUCCUUUGGCGGUUCCACUUCAAGUAUAGAAAAUCGGGUCUUUGAAGGGAUGUUUUUUUUAAUUGAUAUAACAAACGCGUAGAAAAGUCUAGAAAAAGAUGUUUUCAGAUUUCGCAACGAAAAUUUUAAGAAAGUACAAAAAUAAAUAUAUUUAUUUAUCUUUCUAAUUACCGUUUUCCAUAGAAGUUGUGGGUGAUGAUUUUAUUUAUUUUUGUUAGCUUGUUCGAAAAACUUGCCCAUUUUAUAUUAGUAUAAUUACUUAAUAGAGUAAUUGUUUUUCUCUUGUUCUUUCACUAUGAUUAAAUUGUCGAAAUAAAUAACACAACAUG